AGCACGAUGUAGCAAUACAUUGGUGGCGACCGGCGGACGGGUGCGUAACACGUAUGCAACUUGCCCUAUACUGGGAGAUAGCCCGAAGAAAUUCGGAUUAAUAUCCCAUAACAUCAGGAUAAGCAUUUAUCUUGGUUCAAAGCUCCGGCGGUAUAGGAUGGGCAUGCGGUCGAUUAGCUUGUUGGUGAGGUAAUGGCUCACCAAGGCAACGAUCGAUAGGGGGCCUGAGAGGGUGAUCCCCCACACUGGUACUGAGACACGGACCAGACUCCUACGGGAGGCAGCAGUAAGGAAUAUUGGUCAAUGGGCGCAAGCCUGAACCAGCCACGCCGCGUGAAGGAAGACGGCCCUAUGGGUUGUAAACUUCUUUUCUACGGGAAUAAACC
This 386-nucleotide ribosomal RNA is filed under the name uncultured bacterium. Its description in RNAcentral is "bacterial SSU rRNA". It matches the Rfam family "Bacterial small subunit ribosomal RNA", at positions 68 to 452 of the family's 1533-position model. The record is from RNAcentral.